GGUUAAUAUCCACCUUGUCCCUUAAUACGAAUAUAAUGAAGCGUUGCCUCCUAGGGUGAAACGUAUCCGUAGUUUGUGGAGCAUGCGCUCGAAUUUUGCUGUAAAAUGCGCCACCGCUGAAAGCUCGCAGCUUAUUCCUGACGAUUUUACCCCGAAAAUCAAAAUCAAUAUAAGUCUUGAGAUGUUGAGGUGUAGACGUGUUUGUCCGUUCAGCUCCCAUAUGUUUAUUGACAUUUAAAACGAUUGACUGCGAGUUACACAUUCCUAAAUACGGCGCCAAAUGGAAGAAAAAAAACAUGUGAGAGUGUGUGAAAAAAAUCGGGGUUAGUUGUUAACAUGCACCUGCACUUUGAGAGGACCAUCAAUGCCAAAAGUGAUUGCUCCAUUCUUUCGCUCACAUGGAUGGGCAAAGUGCCCGAUGAACUGCCAGAGGACGAAGGAUGGAAACUGAACAGGACAAAUUACUAUCAGGAAGGUUGGCUGGCUACAGGCAACGUUAGGGGUAUCGUUGGGGUGACUUUUACAACGUCGCAUUGUAAGAAAAACGUUGAAUUUCCGCUCAGGACGAACUAUAAUUUGAGGGGACAUCGAUCCGAGGUAAUCCUUGUAAAAUGGAACGAGCCGUACCAGAAGCUCGCCUCCUGCGACAGCUCUGGCAUAAUCUUCGUCUGGAUCAAGUACGAGGGUCGCUGGUCAAUCGAGCUAAUAAACGACCGCAACACUCCCGUGACCCAUUUCUCGUGGUCCCACGACGGCCGAAUGGCCCUCAUCUGCUACCAGGACGGCUUCGUCCUUGUCGGUUCCGUCGCCGGACAGCGCUACUGGUCCUCGAUGUUGAACCUGGAGGCGACCAUCACUUGCGGCAUCUGGACACCCGACGACCAACAAGUCUACUUCGGCACCACCUCCGGCCAAAUCAUCGUCAUGGACGUGCAUGGGGCGAUGGUAUCGCAAGUCCAGCUCAGUUCAGAGGUGGGUAUCACGUCCAUGGCGUGGUCGUGCGAAAAAUUCAAGAUGGAAGAAGGCGAUGAGAAUGACCCGGGAGUGGCGAACGCCGGCGAAAGGAAGUUUGUGUUGGCGGUGUGUUUGCAGAAUGGGUUCAUUUUCCUGCUGAAGACGUUCGAUGACGUGUCGCCGAUUCAGAUUGAUACGGGGAUGCAAGGACCCUUGUGCAUGGAAUGGAGUAAUUCGAGGGAGUUGUUGGCGGUGGCGGGCGUCGCUUUCGACAACAAAAGCGCCGGAGUUCAAGUGGAGUACACCAAUUUGCUGAAGUUUUAUAACGAGAAAGGCGUUUUGUUGUAUUCGGCCUGCGUUCCGUUCACACAGGCCCCAGUGUCGGCCCUAACUUGGGGCCACAACGACAAAAGGCUGUUUCUUGCCACCGGCACCCAAAUUCACAUCGCUUGGGUGUCGCGUAGAAUUGCAACGCUUCAGUUACUUUGCCGGUUGCGAAUUCACGAUUCUAUCCAACAGGAAAGCCAACUACCUGCCUUGCCCUUACCGGCUCGAAUACGUAAUUUGAUUGGAAAUUUGUUUGCUCAAACUAUUAGGUGUUGCGUCCCCGAAUCCAGUGCUUUACGCGAAUUCGUCUCUCGCCCCCCUGUCGGUUCCGUCAGACUUCACUGUACAAUGAUCCGUCACGACGACGACAACAACCUAUCUUCAGGAACUUGCUACACCCUAUAUUUGGAAUAUCUAGGCGGGCUGGUACCGCUCCUCAAAGGCAAAAGAACCAGCAAAAUCCGGCCCGAAUUCGUCAUUUUUGACCCCCAAGUCGAAGAUAUCCACUUGCAGUGGUCCCCGGAAUCGAAAAGCUCCGGCUCUUCGAGCCAAUCAACCAGUAUUGUGGGCGUUUUAUCCGACUCCUCGGACAGCGACAGAGAGGAGGGCUGCACCAGCUCCCCCCGCAUGCAAAGACGCCGAAAACGUCGAAACAAAUCGCGCGGCCCCACCGAAAGACACUCAGGACAGAGCUCGGGGGACGCAGAACCGGAAGACCUAGCCUACGUUGACACGCUCCCCGAACACGUCCGGUUGGUGGAAGUAACGUCGAACAUUUGGGGCACCAAAUUCAAGAUUCACGGCUUGGCAACAUUAGUGCCAGCGAAUUUGGGACAAGUCACUUACAAAACAUCGCUAUUGCACCUGCAACCGCGUCAAAUGACUCUAGUGAUGACCGAACUCCGCGACGAUUUCCCGGUGGUUCCCGACCCGAAUUUCAACCCGAACCUGUUUUCCGAAGACGAGGAGGAGGUGCAACUUGACGGCAGGAAAAUCCCAAGGGGGGCGAUCGACAACAGCCCCCCCAUAGCCCCAAUGUCGCCGCGUGGCAGCCGUUUGGCUAAUUUGGCAAAAGCCGAGUCGUACGAAGACGAGUACGAAGCUAGUUUUUGUGAUAAUAUCCGUCCACAGACGUCUACUAAUCUCAACCUACGUCCGAGUAAUAGCACGCAGAGUACUAGCUUUGUGGGGCAGUUUAACCGCAAUGGGGCCCCGAAUGGGGCCCAAAGACACGCCAUUUCGCCACUUUGUUGCGAGGGCUCGGUCCCGGCGCUCCAAUCGCCGAAGAACGCCGUGGCCCCGAGUGACAUCAUCUUCGACCGGCCCCCAGCUCAGACCCUCAUCACUUAUGCGAAUAGUGACUACGGGAACAACGUCAAAAACAACUUUAUCGAACAUCACCAGAAAGCUGUGAUUGUGAAAAACGACAAGAAGAAAGAUUUGAGUUUUAUCGACGAGGAGGCCCUUCCGGGCCCUUCCACGUCAAUCCGCCCCUCGAACACUCUAUGUUUGGCUGAUUCUAUGGUUCGCAGCUGCAGUGUGGGUUAUUUGGAUAUGGUGGACGCCCAGUUAGUUCCAAGCGAUGUUGCGCUUUUAAUGCUGCGUAAGGACGCCCCAAAACGACUGGUUUUGGUCAAUCGAAAGCAAAAAACCAAACGCCAGAAUCGGCAAAAUCGCGAAAACCGCACCAAUAAAUCACCGAAAUUGAAAAACUGUGGUAAGUCGAAAAGUUUGGAUUCGAGCGAUUUGUUCCCGAACACGGACCCGGUGAUACCAUCAUCUAAGGCUAAUUUUAUCGAAGAAGUUAUACCGGAGGUUAGCAAUAAAUCGAGCAGUUCUUCGCCGGAGACUGUCGAUGAGAAUUCGAAUAAAAAGGAGCCGAAGUUGGGGUUUUUUGCCUCGAGAUCGCCACUCAUGCGGCGGAAGAAAACGUCGGAGGAGAAGACCAGAGGACGACCGAAGCAGAAAAGUGCGAAUCAACAGGUGGACAACCAGAGGAAUGGCAUGCCGUUGCACACGCAGGCGUUGGCCAAUUUGGAAAAGUUGAUUACGCGGCUGCGGGAGGACGAUAAGGCGGCGGCGGCGGCGACGCCGCCGCCGACGCCGCGCCUGCCCAGGAGUUCGCCGGCGUCGCCGGCGCCCAGCAAAAAGGGUAAGCGGCCCCAGUCAGCUUCCCCCAUCCGCAAGAACCUCCUCUCUUCGCCGUUGUUGGGCCGAAGGAGUAAAAAAAACCGCCACCAGGAGAGUUCCGACGACGAGGUGACGGCAUCCGGGGACGAAGUCUACAACGGGACGAACUACCGCGACUUGGAAACGUUUCAAAAAGCACAAUUACGCCAAAAACUAAAGCGCGGUAAGAUCGAGCCGAACGGAAGCACCCACUGUAACAAUCACUUGAUACCUCAACGACGGGAAUUCGUAAUGCACAAUAAGGCGCCAAUGUGGAACGAAAACAGCCAGGUGUACCAGCUGGAUUUUGGUGGGCGGGUGACCCAAGAGUCGGCGAAAAAUUUCCAGAUUGAGUUUCGGGGAAAACAGGUUAUGCAGUUUGGGCGUAUUGACGGGAAUGCCUACACUCUAGAUUUCCAGUAUCCGUUUUCCGCGCUUCAGGCGUUCGCAGUGGCUUUAGCUAACGUCACGCAAAGACUCAAGUAGGUGGUGGAAGCAUAUCUUGUUGACAAAACGGUGCCAAUUUAGCCAUGUUUUUCGAUCGUUAAGCCGACCAAAUACAAUGAAGAUUAAAUUUAACAGUACAAGCUUAUAGUUGAAUCUCUCCAAAACUACAAUUUUUAGAACAAAAUGGACACAAAUUCGGAAUCCUCAGGUAAUUUUUCCUUAAAAAUAAGCGAUAACUUUUGAUGAAAUCUGGUGAAAAAUUAGAGAAUUAAAUUGAAAAAAAGUGGAAGAAAAUGUUUUCUUGAGCUAAUUCGCCGACUUUUGAACUCAAAGUAUUUGCGUUUUAGGUGAAUUAUUGCAAUUAUAUAGUUUUUAAUGUUGAUUUAUUUAAAAAGUUUGUGUUAAAAUAUCUGCAAAACACGGUCAGUACCUGGGGCCCGAUGGCCCAGUGGUAUAAGCGCCACUUACGACGCGGGAGGUCGGGGUUCGAACCCGGAUCACGGCAACAAUUUUUCUAUGAAAAAAAGUGUAGAAAAGGUAAGGAAACAAAACGUGAGCAAAAAUAAGAGACUGAGAGAACACAUAGACGUAUAAACGUAAAGCGGAGCAUAAAACUGACAGAAAUAAGAAAAUAAUGCGGCAAAAAGUAAAAGUACGUAAAGGCGUCAAAUUGUAAACGUAAGAGCACAUCAUAAUAAAGGAAAAUACUUUU
Molecule: RNA transcript, 4609 nt
Organism: Tribolium castaneum (red flour beetle)
Lineage: Eukaryota; Metazoa; Arthropoda; Insecta; Coleoptera; Tenebrionidae
Gene: Tusp
Gene name: tusp
Exons: 10
Source: RefSeq, a predicted model, not a curated record